Small nuclear RNA from Suncus etruscus (white-toothed pygmy shrew), 102 nucleotides. Lineage: Eukaryota; Metazoa; Chordata; Mammalia; Eulipotyphla; Soricidae. The record is from RefSeq and is a predicted model, not a curated record.
UUGCUUCGGCAGCACAUAAACUAAAACUGGAACGAUACAGAGAAGAUUAGCAUGCCCCUGUGCAAGGAUGACAUGCAAUUUUGUGAAGCACUCUAUAUUUCG